Molecule: ribosomal RNA, 316 nt
Filed under: uncultured soil bacterium
Lineage: Bacteria
Description: bacterial SSU rRNA
Rfam family: Bacterial small subunit ribosomal RNA
Source: RNAcentral
AGGACGAACGCUGGCGGCGUGCUUAACACAUGCAAGUCGAGCGGUAAGGCCUUUCGGGGUACACGAGCGGCGAACGGGUGAGUAACACGUGGGUGAUCUGCCCUGCACUUCGGGAUAAGCCUGGGAAACUGGGUCUAAUACCGGAUAUGACCUCAGGUUGCAUGACUUGGGGUGGAAAGAUUUAUCGGUGCAGGAUGGGCCCGCGGCCUAUCAGCUUGUUGGUGGGGUAAUGGCCUACCAAGGCGACGACGGGUAGCCGACCUGAGAGGGUGACCGGCCACACUGGGACUGAGACACGGCCCAGACUCCUACGGGA